GGGGUUGAUCUGCCUGGCUCCCUGAAUGCCAUCUAAGAAGCUUGUCAAGGUUGUUGACUCUCUUCCUAGUUGGCAUCAGAGGAGUCAUGCAGGCCCCAACAUU
Molecule: microRNA precursor, 103 nt
Filed under: Vitis vinifera (wine grape)
Lineage: Eukaryota; Viridiplantae; Streptophyta; Magnoliopsida; Vitales; Vitaceae
Description: miR160a stem-loop (vvi-MIR160a)
Gene: vvi-MIR160a
Rfam family: mir-160 microRNA precursor family (bases 8-94)
About the family: The hairpin precursors (represented here) are predicted based on base pairing and cross-species conservation -- their extents are not known. In this case the mature sequence is excised from the 5' arm of the hairpin.
Source: miRBase by way of RNAcentral